UACGGGGGGAGCAAGCGUUGUUCGGAUUUACUGGGCGUAAAGGGCGCGUAGGCGGCCACCGCAAGUCGACUGUGAAAUCUCCGGGCUUAACCCGGAAAGGUCAGCCGAUACUGCGGGGCUAGAGUGCAGAAGGGGCAACUGGAAUUCUCGGUGUAGCGGUGAAAUGCGUAGAUAUCGAGAGGAACACCUGCGGCGAAGGCGGGUUGCUGGGCUGACACUGACGCUGAGGCACGAAAGCGUGGGGAUCAAACAGG
Molecule: ribosomal RNA, 254 nt
Filed under: uncultured bacterium
Lineage: Bacteria
Description: partial 16S ribosomal RNA
Rfam family: Bacterial small subunit ribosomal RNA
Source: RNAcentral